This is a long non-coding RNA of Orcinus orca (killer whale), 185 nucleotides long. RefSeq lists it as uncharacterized. The record is from RefSeq and is a predicted model, not a curated record. The transcript has 3 exons. NCBI's taxonomy places the organism in Eukaryota, Metazoa, Chordata, Mammalia, Artiodactyla, Delphinidae.
CAUCCCCAUGGGGAUGGGAAUCCGGCAGGAGUGUCCUCGCACCACUGGGCGCACAUCAGAAAAUUUGGGGAGCCCAGCAGUUAGGGCCUGACGCCAGAGGGCCCUCAUCACAGAGGGGAGGAGGCUCCCAGCAGGCUCCAACUGCCACCAGAGGGCCGACGUCUCCAAGGAGAGGUGUGCCAGCC